This 720-nucleotide ribosomal RNA is filed under the name uncultured bacterium. RNAcentral's name for it is "bacterial SSU rRNA". It matches the Rfam family "Bacterial small subunit ribosomal RNA", at positions 412 to 1121 of the family's 1533-position model. The record is from RNAcentral.
CGGUCUUCGGAUUGUAAACUCCUGUUAAGUGGGAAGAAAAGCUUAUCAUUAAUACGGGUAAGUUCUGACGGUACCAUUAGAGAAAGCACCGGCUAACUUCGUGCCAGCAGCCGCGGUAAUACGAGGGGUGCAAGCGUUAUUCGGAAUUACUGGGCGUAAAGGGUGUGUAGACGGCAUAUCAAGUCAACUGUUAAAUGCUCCGGCCUAACUGGAGACCUGCGGUAGAAACUGAUGUGCUUGAGGGUGGAAGAGAGAAGUGGAAUUCUCGGAGUAGCGGUAAAAUGCGUGGAUCUCGAGAGGAACACCAAUGGCGAAGGCAGCUUCUUGGUCCAUACCUGACGUUGAAACACGAAAGCGUGGGGAGCAAACAGGAUUAGAUACCCUGGUAGUCCACGCCGUAAACGAUGAUCACUAGACGUUAGUCCUGUUUUAACAGGAUUAGUGUCGCAGCUAACGCGUUAAGUGAUCCGCCUGGGGAUUACGGUCGCAAGACUAAAACUUAAAGGAAUUGACGGGGGCCCGCACAAGCGGUGGAGCAUGUGGUUUAAUUCGAUGCAACGCGAAGAACCUUACCUGCCCUUGACAUCCUCGGAACUUUCCAGAGAUGGAUUGGUGCCUUCGGGAACCGAGAGACAGGUGCUGCAUGGCUGUCGUCAGCUCGUGUCGUGAGAUGUUGGGUUAAGUCCCGUAACGAGCGCAACCCUUGCCCCUAGUUGCCAG